AGUGAACGCUGGCGGUAGGCCUAACACAUGCAAGUCGAACGGCAGCACAGUAAGAGCUUGCUCUUACGGGUGGCGAGUGGCGGACGGGUGAGGAAUACAUCGGAAUCUACUUUUUCGUGGGGGAUAACGUAGGGAAACUUACGCUAAUACCGCAUACGACCUACGGGUGAAAGCAGGGGAUCUUCGGACCUUGCGCGAUUGAAUGAGCUGAUGUCGGAUUAGCUAGUUGGCGGGGUAAAGGCCCACCAAGGCGACGAUCCGUAGCUGGUCUGAGAGGAUGAUCAGCCACACUGGAACUGAGACACGGUCCAGACUCCUACAGGAGGCAGCAGGGGGGAAUAUUGGACAAUGGGCGCAAGCCUGAUCCAGCCAUGCCGCGUGGGUGAAGAAGGCCUUCGGAUUGUAAAGCCCUUUUGUUGGGAAAGAAAAACAGCAGGUUAAUACCCCGCUGUUUUGACGGUACCCAAAGAAUAAGCACCGGCUAACUUCGUG
This 492-nucleotide ribosomal RNA is filed under the name uncultured bacterium. RNAcentral's name for it is "partial 16S ribosomal RNA". It matches the Rfam family "Bacterial small subunit ribosomal RNA", at positions 29 to 507 of the family's 1533-position model. The record is from RNAcentral.